GAUAAACGCUGGCGGCGUGCCUAACACAUGCAAGUCGAACGGGGUAAUUUCUUUCGGGAGAUUACUUAGUGGCGAACGGGUGAGUAACGCGUGAGGAACCUGCCUUUCAGUGGGGGACAACAUCCCGAAAGGGGUGCUAAUACCGAAUGUGACAGCAAUCUCGCAUGAGGAUGCUGUGAAAGAUGGCCUCUAUUUAUAAGCUAUCGCUAGAGGAUGGGCCUGCGUCUGAUUAGCUAGUUGGUGGGGUAAUGGCCUACCAAGGCGAUGAUCAGUAGCCGGUCUGAGAGGAUGAACGGCCACAUUGGGACUGAGACACGGCCCAG
This 323-nucleotide ribosomal RNA is filed under the name uncultured bacterium. RNAcentral describes it as "bacterial SSU rRNA". It matches the Rfam family "Bacterial small subunit ribosomal RNA", at positions 28 to 334 of the family's 1533-position model. The record is from RNAcentral.